Molecule: ribosomal RNA, 497 nt
Filed under: uncultured bacterium
Lineage: Bacteria
Description: partial 16S ribosomal RNA
Rfam family: Bacterial small subunit ribosomal RNA
Source: RNAcentral
GACGAACGCUGGCGGCGUGCCUAAUACAUGCAGGUUGAGCGCUGAAGGUUGGUACUUGUACCAACUGGAUGAGCAGCGAACGGGUGAGUAACGCGUGGGGAAUCUGCCUUUGAGCGGGGGACAACAUUUGGAAACGAAUGCUAAUACCGCAUAAAAACUUUAAACACAAGUUUUAAGUUUGAAAGAUGCAAUUGCAUCACUCAAAGAUGAUCCCGCGUUGUAUUAGCUAGUUGGUGAGGUAAAGGCUCACCAAGGCGAUGAUACAUAGCCGACCUGAGAGGGUGAUCGGCCACAUUGGGACUGAGACACGGCCCAAACUCCUACGGGAGGCAGCAGUAGGGAAUCUUCGGCAAUGGACGAAAGUCUGACCGAGCAACGCCGCGUGAGUGAAGAAGGUUUUCGGAUCGUAAAACUCGGUUGGUAGAGAAGAACGUUGGUGAGAGUGGAAAGCUCAUCAAGUGACGGUAACUACCCAGAAAGGGACGGCUAACUACGUG